AAGAAGUCUGAAAACUUUUUUUCCAAUCUCACUUUGGUCCUCUUCAUUGAAAUAGACUUAGUUUAUCAAGUUAUUAAAAUUUCUGUUUUCUUUUUUUGAUACAUCAGAAAUUUCUUAAGGAGAGGAGGGGGAAGAGGGGGGAAGGGGGGUGUUAGGUUCGAAUCAUUGAUCUCACCUACUACCAAGCAGGCACUCAAUCAUUAGGCUAGUAACCCAAUAAAUAAAUGGAUUAAAAAAAUGAAGUACAUAAAAGGAUAGAAGGAGAAAAGAAUCAAUAGGAUUAGUAUUAAUGGUUAGCCAAUAGAUCAUUUGCAUAUUUGAACAAAAGUUUGCCAGAUUAUGGAUUAUUAUCAUCUGAUUUCUUUUUGAAGACAUUUUUUUAAAAGACAAAUAUUGAAGGAAGUGUCCUCUUUCAUGUUAAUUCAUGGUGUAACAACUAAACCAAUUCAAGUUGAUGCUCAUCUUGACUAAUUUGGAAUUCAGACUAAAAUUAUUGUGAUUUGGGAUUGGCUUUGCCUAGUCUCAUAGUGGAAGUGCAUUUAUUUGAUGCCAAGAAAUGUUCAGUUUUCAUCAGAAUUACAAACGCUAUUUUUUUUCAAUCUGUUCUUCGGAUACUAAUGUCUUGUUUUUUAGCAGGUGGUUGCAGGUUUCCGUAAAAGGCAGGCAUAAAGUGACUCAUUGAAUCAAGUAGCAGAAUAUCAAUCUCCCAAGUUCCAACUCUCGUGGGUUUUACUAUUUUUCUUUUUUCUUCAUCUUGAGCAGCAUGAAAUAAGAUUUUCUUUUUAAUUGUUGAACAAUGAGAAGUAAGAAGUACUGCACAUUGAACACCAUCCAAGUAUGUGAAUAUUUUCUUCUAUGCUGAGUAAACACUUGUAGACAAUUGAUGCUUUUGAAAUCCGCUACUUCCAUUCCUUUGCCUGGUCAAAAUUUCAUUUAUAAUUAUUAGCUGCUUUCACCUGUUUAAUUAUCAGAGACUGG
RNAcentral lists this unclassified non-coding RNA (978 nucleotides) under Hevea brasiliensis (rubber tree). Lineage: Eukaryota; Viridiplantae; Streptophyta; Magnoliopsida; Malpighiales; Euphorbiaceae. The record is from RNAcentral.